Molecule: non-coding RNA, 68 nt
Organism: Potamilus streckersoni
Lineage: Eukaryota; Metazoa; Mollusca; Bivalvia; Unionida; Unionidae
Source: the annotation of a GenBank genome assembly
GGUGGCCUAGUGGUUAGAGCGUCCGCCUCAAUUGCGGAAGGUUGUAUGUUCGAUUCCCGGUUGAAUCA